RNAcentral lists this ribosomal RNA (507 nucleotides) under uncultured bacterium. RNAcentral's name for it is "bacterial SSU rRNA". It matches the Rfam family "Bacterial small subunit ribosomal RNA", at positions 9 to 483 of the family's 1533-position model. The record is from RNAcentral.
GAGUUUGAACCUGGCUCAGGAUGAACGCUGGCGGCGUGCCUAAUACAUGCAAGUCGAACGAAACUUCUUUAUCACCGAGUGCUUGCACUCACCGAUAAAGAGUUGAGUGGCGAACGGGUGAGUAACACGUGGGCAACCUGCCCAAAAGAGGGGGAUAACACUUGGAAACAGGUGCUAAUACCGCAUAACCAUAGUUACCGCAUGGUAACUAUGUAAAAGGUGGCUAUGCUACCGCUUUUGGAUGGGCCCGCGGCGCAUUAGCUAGUUGGUGGGGUAAAGGCUUACCAAGGCAAUGAUGCGUAGCCGAACUGAGAGGUUGAUCGGCCACAUUGGGACUGAGACACGGCCCAAACUCCUACGGGAGGCAGCAGUAGGGAAUCUUCCACAAUGGGCGAAAGCCUGAUGGAGCAACGCCGCGUGGGUGAAGAAGGUCUUCGGAUCGUAAAACCCUGUUGUUAGAGAAGAAAGUGCGUGAGAGUAACUGUUCACGUUUCGACGGUAUCUAAC